AGCCACAAUGUGACUAAUUUUUGAUGAAUAAUCCUAAUUUUAGUCACAAGAUUUUGAAGUUUAGUCACAAAACAAA
This 76-nucleotide transfer RNA is filed under the name Staphylococcus aureus. Its description in RNAcentral is "tRNA-His-GTG". The record is from RNAcentral. Lineage: Bacteria; Bacillati; Bacillota; Bacilli; Caryophanales; Staphylococcaceae.